AUUAUAAAGAGCUAUAUAUUGUUAGUAUAUAAAUAUUAUGAAAACAAAAAAUUAUGGCGGUACUUUAAACUUUUCAGAGGAAUUUGCUCUUUAAUGGAUAAAACACCUAAAUCUUACUAAAAUUAGUUAAUUCAGCUUGUAUACCACUAUCAAAGUAAUAAUUUAUAAUUAUUACUAUAAUUUUUUAUAUUAUAGAAAUUAAAUUAAGUCAUGGUGCAGCUUAAAUUUUAGGAUGAAGUGAAUUACAUUUCUUUUAAGAAAAUUGAAAUUUAAAAUUAUUUAUUUGGAUUUGAAAGUAAAAGUGUAAUAUAAUGACAUUUUGAAUUGAGUUCUAAAGUAUGUAC
Molecule: ribosomal RNA, 344 nt
Filed under: Amblyomma sp. LB-2004
Lineage: Eukaryota; Metazoa; Arthropoda; Arachnida; Ixodida; Ixodidae
Description: partial 12S ribosomal RNA
Source: RNAcentral